UGAAUGACUCUCGACAAUGGAUAUCUUGGCUCUUGCAUCGAUGAAGAGCGCAGCGAAAUGCGAUACAUGAUGUGAAUUGCAGAAUCCCGUGAACCAUCGAGUUUUUGAACGCAAGUUGCGCCCGAGGCCAAUUGGUUGAGGGCACGCCCGCCUGGGCGUCAAGC
This 164-nucleotide ribosomal RNA is filed under the name Ponthieva parvula. Its description in RNAcentral is "5.8S ribosomal RNA". It matches the Rfam family "5.8S ribosomal RNA". From Rfam's summary of the family: 5.8S ribosomal RNA (5.8S rRNA) is a component of the large subunit of the eukaryotic ribosome. The record is from RNAcentral. Lineage: Eukaryota; Viridiplantae; Streptophyta; Magnoliopsida; Asparagales; Orchidaceae.